Harpia harpyja (harpy eagle) is the source of this 2331-nucleotide RNA transcript. It is a transcript of the gene named RNA binding protein, mRNA processing factor 2, with no coding region annotated. NCBI's taxonomy places the organism in Eukaryota, Metazoa, Chordata, Aves, Accipitriformes, Accipitridae. The record is from RefSeq and is a predicted model, not a curated record. The transcript is spliced from 8 exons.
CCCUUUCCCCCCCCCUCCCCUCCCCUUACCCCGGCACCCCACCAUGAGCAACCUCAACAAGGACACCGAGCACACCAACGGCAGCGGUAACGUCGAGGAGGAGGUACGGACACUGUUUGUCAGUGGCCUUCCUGUGGAUAUCAAGCCCAGAGAGCUCUACCUACUCUUCCGACCAUUCAAGGGUUAUGAAGGGUCACUGAUCAAGCUAACUUCAAAGCAGCCAGUUGGUUUUGUGACCUUUGACAGCCGGGCUGGUGCUGAAGCAGCAAAGAACGCCUUGAAUGGCAUCCGCUUUGACCCGGAGAACCCCCAGACCUUGCGGUUAGAGUUUGCUAAAGCCAACACAAAGAUGGCCAAGAGCAAGCUGAUGGCCACGCCAAACCCCACCAAUAUCCACCCUGCCUUGGGCGCACACUUCAUUGCACGGGACCCCUAUGACCUGACUGGAGCGGCUCUUAUUCCAGCGUCCCCAGAAGCGUGGGCUCCCUACCCACUGUACACCACGGAGCUAACCCCUGCCAUCCCCCAUGCCGCCUUCACGUACCCGGCGGCCGCUGCAGCGGCCGCUGCUCUUCACGCUCAGUGAACUCCAGCCAUGAUGCCAGCGCAGGCUAGCCCUGAAGCUCAGAGCUGUCCCUGGAGAUGGGACACCCUAGUGAUGCCUUAUUGCAGCUAGUGGAGUGGCUGUACUACAGCUCCAUUCCUAGAAGUGUUAAGCAUGAUGGCAGCCACGUCUGGAAAGACUGAUGCGCUGGUAUCCUCCCUCUGAAGCUACCCAGCAAGGAUGGAAGUCUCGUCAGUUUUGUUAGUUCAUUAGUAAGUAAUUAAUUACUCUUGGAGCCGGGUCCUUGUCCUGCUUGUCCCUGGGCUCUUGUGGGGAGGAGGGAUGGGAGCUCGGGCUCAGCCUCCUGCAUCCACCCAAGGAUGUGGUUGGGUUACAUUGAUGGGUGAUGGAGCCAAAUCCACCCCGGUGGGAGCAGGGAGACCCACCAAGCCCCAGGGUGGGAAAGGAGCUGUGGGUGCCGCUCAGGGAGUGGAUCCAGCCAGCCCCACUCACCGCUGCUCCUCUUCCGCAGCGUCUCUCCUCGGCUUGUGUUCCUCCUCCCUGCCUCUCCACGGAGGGAUGUGCCAGGGACGAUCGCUCAGACUCCUCUCGGUUUGGUUUGUGGCCAGCGGACAAGGCGCCUGGCCCCUGUGCGCUCCCCCCCUCCCCGACCCCGGGGCUGCCAGCAUCCCCCAUCCCCAGACUGUGAAGCUGCCGCGGCCCCUGCCAUGGGCUGUGUGCUGCCUCCAUCCAUCCUUCCAUCCCUCCCUCCCUCCCUCCAUCCCCAGGACAUCCUCCCCGACUGAGCUUCGCCGUCCGGCUGUGCCGAAACCCAGCUGGGGGGCUCGGUCCUGGACUUCCCCGAGCUCGCCCUGCCCCGGUAGCUCGGCUGAAGGAAAUGAAAGGCAAUGGGUUUUGCAUGUUUUCUGGCAUGAAUUAAAACACUUAACUUGUGUAUGUGUGAGUGUAAGUUUGUUUGUUCUAGCGUUUGUGUAACCGUUAGCAACAGGUCUUGGCCCAAUGGAUUGAUCCAUCAAGGUUUUCAUCUUGCUUCGGUGAAGACUUGGCUUUGAGAAAUACUAACUGUCCUUGUCUCACCCCUUCUCCCACCUCUGCCCUCCCAUUCCCAGUACAACCAGAAAAAUUUGAAAAAUGUUUUUUUUUUUUCUUUCUUCCAAGUAUGAUGCACUGGGUUUCUGUUCUCAUCCAUUCUUCUCUGGUUUUAAAGUCAGGGUUAUUAUAUUGUUGGUUUUUUUUCUUCAGACUUCUAUAUAUAGAAUAGCUGUAAAAUAUCUAACCUCUUUUUUUUCCACAUCUUUCUGAUUGGAGAGCAUCCAGUCCUGCCAAAUAAUCAGCCAUCCUUAUGGGAAUACCGAACAAAAAAAAAAGUACGAGUAUUUUUGUACCAUGUGUAAUAAGGAAAUAUUUAUGCAUCAUAAAGAAUUUCUUGUGUGUUCGUGUGCAAUUAAUAAUUAUUAUUAUUAUUAAAGAGAAAUUGUAAUCCUGUAAGAUAAUGUUUAGUUAAAAGCUUGAAAGAGAAGGGUUGUCUUCUGUAACAAUGAUUCAGUCAGGCAUAGUAAACAAGAAAUUGUGCAAUUUUUGUUUUAGCAUCUUAUUGCUUGGUAUUGAAGUGCUUUAAGUAUUAUACGACCAUGGCUGUCUCGCUUGUAUUAAAAGAUUUGAGAAUAAGUUGCUAUAUAAUUGCUGAUCCUAUGAGAAUGUGAAACUGGAUAAUAUAUGAAAUGCAACAACAACAAAAAAUAUACCCAGAGGCUGCUGUGACUCUU